This 495-nucleotide ribosomal RNA is filed under the name uncultured bacterium. RNAcentral's name for it is "partial 16S ribosomal RNA". It matches the Rfam family "Bacterial small subunit ribosomal RNA", at positions 30 to 523 of the family's 1533-position model. The record is from RNAcentral.
AUUGAACGCUGGGGAAUGCUUUACACAUGCAAGUCGAACGGUAGAGGGGGCAACCCCUCGAGAGUGGCGAACGGGUGAGUAAUAUAUCAGAACGUGCCCAGUCGUGGGGGAUAACGUAGCGAAAGUUACGCUAAUACCGCAUACGAUCUAAGGAUGAAAGCGGGGGAUCGCAAGACCUCGCGCGAUUGGAGCGGCCGAUAUCAGAUUAGGUAGUUGGUGGGGUAAAGGCUCACCAAGCCAACGAUCUGUAGCUGGUCUGAGAGGACGACCAGCCACACUGGAACUGAGACACGGUCCAGACUCCUACGGGAGGCAGCAGUGGGGAAUUUUGGACAAUGGACGCAAGUCUGAUUCAGCCAUUCCGCGUGCAGGAUGAAGGCCCUCGGGUUGUAAACUGCUUUUGUACGGAACGAAAAGGUCUCUCUUAAUACGGGGGGCUCAUGACGGUACCGUAAGAAUAAGCACCGGCUAACUACGUGCCAGCAGCCGCAGUAA